This is a non-coding RNA of Mycobacterium sp. SP-6446, 98 nucleotides long. NCBI's taxonomy places the organism in Bacteria, Bacillati, Actinomycetota, Actinomycetes, Mycobacteriales, Mycobacteriaceae. The record is from Rfam.
CGCCCUCGCGCGGGAGAGUUCCGUGAUUGCCAGUCACGGACGCCGAAGGAGCAACACCUCUCCGUCAACCUCUCAGGCACCCGGACCGCGCAAGACAA